GCGACUAUCUAUCUAGGAUUUUACAAGGUUGACCUUCACUGUGGUAUCUGCAUGCCUUGCAGAAGUAGUAAGCAGGUUUCUUUACAUAUAAGGGCUUUAAUGCCAGGCUUAUGCUGAUUUCCUAACAGAGACUGCUUAUAGUAGAUUCCUUUUUACCUCACGUUUGCAUGUUAUAGCCCUAGAAGAAAGGAAAGUUGAUGCUGAUUUAACAACACAGGGGCUGUGUGGCUAAAUAACCUGUGGAGGAGAAAACAAUUAGGGCCUGCUCCCGAUGGCACUGAAAUCAAAAGCUCACGUUGAAGGCAGUGCUACACGAUCAAGCAGCGCUGGUGAAAUGUAGCUCUUUGCAGACCACCUGUGUACAAAGGACGGAUGGUUUUGAGACUGGGGCACUGGUCUGGGGCUCAGUGAGUUGAAUUCCUGACUCUGCCACGAUGGGCAAGUCACUUAAUCUCUCCGCUGUAAAAUGGGAACACUAUAACACUUCCCUUCUCCCAUC
Molecule: long non-coding RNA, 499 nt
Organism: Mauremys reevesii (Reeves's turtle)
Lineage: Eukaryota; Metazoa; Chordata; Testudines; Geoemydidae
Exons: 2
Source: RefSeq, a predicted model, not a curated record